Long non-coding RNA from Scylla paramamosain (green mud crab), 1072 nucleotides. RefSeq lists it as uncharacterized. Lineage: Eukaryota; Metazoa; Arthropoda; Malacostraca; Decapoda; Portunidae. The transcript is spliced from 2 exons. The record is from RefSeq and is a predicted model, not a curated record.
AAAAAACAAGUUGCCAAUAGAUUUUAAAGCAAGAUAGUAAGAUUUUAAGUACUGAAGUGAACUGGAAUGAUAAAUAAUGUUGUAAUGACUGGGUGAACAUUAUAUUCUCAGCCAGAGAGAGAGAGAGAGAGAGAGAGAGAGAGAGAUGAAGGAAAGUGAGAUCAAGUUCCCAAUAGACACAGCAUAGUGGAACAAGAUUUAAAGAAGAGAAUAGGAGUAAAACAAUAUCAGGAUGACAGAUAGAAAAGGAGAGGAAGAAGAGAGGGAAGGGUUAAGUUAGGUUGAGUUGCUAAUGGACACAAGAACGAAAUAUGAAUAAAUAAAGUGAUGGUUUAUUUCUGGGCUGAUAACAAUAUACUUCUCCACACUUCCUCCCUUCAUAAAUGCCAUACUGGAUAACUAGAGACACCUACAAUGGUUUGAGCACACCACUUUUAGUUACUAAGGACUAGGAUAUAGCACACAAACCAUUAUCAUCACCACCACCACCACCAUCGUCGUCGCCAUAUAAAAGUAUUAAAAGUACAGCAUUUUAAUCCUAAUGGUGUGCAAAAAAACACGCACUGAGAAUCGUGAAUGACUUGCUGAGACGUUUGGUAUUGUAAACACAAUUGACUUUGGAAUGCUGGCAGAUAAUAAAUAAUAGUAAUAAUAACUUAAUGCUAUUUGCAUAUACCAAACUCUUCAAAGUUAAAAUAUUUUGUAUCUCUUCAUAUCGACAGUUUGAUUUAAGCCACACGCAGGCAUAUACGUAACACUGGAAUUGGCAGGCACGCUCAAUACAAUAAUACAUAUUUAUACAUACGUUUCUCAUAACCUUAUAUGCUACACAACCACACACAAGCACACGCAUAUUUCUGGUACAUGUUCUUUAAUCUUUGAGCUACACACAGGCAUACACAAUAACACUGGGAUUGUCAGGCAUACUCAUAACAUGUUUCUCAUAGAUUCAUACUACACACACUCAUACACACACACAAAUACACACAAUUCUAGUCCAUAUUUCCAUGUUUCAUUUUCUCAAUCCUAUUCUUAAAGUCUAUAAAGAAGUUUUUGUUGUUUUUCUUAUCUA